UACGUAGGGUGCGAGCGUUGUCCGGAAUUAUUGGGCGUAAAGGGCUCGUAGGCGGUUUGUCGCGUCGGGAGUGAAAACCUUGGGCUUAACUCAGGGCUUGCUUUCGAUACGGGCAGACUAGAGGUAUGCAGGGGAGAACGGAAUUCCUGGUGUAGCGGUGAAAUGCGCAGAUAUCAGGAGGAACACCGGUGGCGAAGGCGGGUCUCUGGGCCGAUAUUGACGCUGAGGAGCGAAAGCGUGGGGAGCGAACAGG
This 253-nucleotide ribosomal RNA is filed under the name uncultured bacterium. RNAcentral describes it as "partial 16S ribosomal RNA". It matches the Rfam family "Bacterial small subunit ribosomal RNA", at positions 524 to 776 of the family's 1533-position model. The record is from RNAcentral.